UGGAAAAUGUGUUUAAUUAAUUGAAAAAAGUUAUGUUGCUAAGACUCUUAUCGUCAAAAAUGAUUUGUUUCUUAUUUCUUUUGUAUCUUAUGAGUUUUCAAGAUGAAAUUAUUGAAUCGAGAUUCACAGAGGUUGUAGUCAUUUGUAUUUUGCUAGCUAGCAGUUUGUGCUAGAUGCUGUAUUACGGCCCUACCAGACAAUGGCAAAAGUGGGUAUAGCAGAAACAGACUGGCACUAGAUUUAGCUUCUGUCUAGAGAUGCCUACGGGCAUCAUGGGUGAAUAAGACCAAAGCACAUCUUGACACCAAGUUAGUUAGUUAAAAGUUACACGCUAAACAUGUAUCCAGGAUCAAAUAUUUCCUCACUUCCUUUGUAGUAAUAGAUAUGGUUGGAGGUGUAGAUCAGUGGUUGGGGGAGUGAAACUUCGACCCGGUGUUGUCUUGGCUGACCUUAGAGUUUUGUGUGGUUGCCAUGGGAACAGAGUCACCCCGAGCCCUACCCUAAUCGAUCUGUCCAAUUACAGGACAGAGUCACUUUACACCUGUGACGUCCCUUCGCGGAGGUGUUCUGUCUUGUGGGGUUUCGCUUUUCAAAUGUUCUGUGACGUCGAAAAACUACCAAUUUAACUAAUUUACUUUUGGAUUUGGGGCUCAUCGUUUUCUCACGGGUGGAUUCAGGGGACGGGUUUCAGAUACUGACUCGGUCGUGAUCCUCUGUCCUGCACCAUCUUGCGAAUCAGAUGGAUAUUGGCUUCACUCCCAAGGGUGUAUGUUUACAGAUCUUUGCCCUUAGAGGGAGCCACGUGACGUUUCUAGAGCAGUAAACCGUGACUCCGUCCCAAAGCUCUUUAACGUUUCUGUUCCUCAUGGCCUUCGUGGAGGUCAACCGUGAGGGAGAAUAGACACAGGAAGGAGACUAAACGAGGCCUGUGGGUGAUGAAAGGAGACGCCGGAUUACGUUGGGACUAUUGGGACAGAGUCGUUGUGGCUUACUUACGGUUUCCGUGGUUACACGGGUCAGACACUCCUGGUCUCUGAUAUCCACUGUACAUUCACACACACCCAGGAAGUGUUUUUCUCUCCACUAGUCAAAACGAAUCCCCUGACCAAGGCCUGAAACUCUGCUUUUUGUGUUCUUCUGUAUUACUGCUAAAUGUCAGCAUAUAUAUUUUGAUAUAUUUAAAAAAACGGGGAUCUAAAAGUCUAGAUAU
This is a long non-coding RNA of Esox lucius (northern pike), 1210 nucleotides long. Lineage: Eukaryota; Metazoa; Chordata; Actinopteri; Esociformes; Esocidae. The record is from Ensembl.